UCCUGGUGUUAGAGGCAGCCUCAAGAAGUGAAGUUAAUUACUAGGAAUAAUAUUAUUAAUCGUGUCCUUUUCUUUUUCUUGCUCUUUAUUUUUAUUCCUGGGUAUGUUUGUGGUGUUUAGAUGAUGAUGUUGUUGUUAUGCUUUUGAUGAUGAUGGUAUUGCGGAAAAAAAACAACAAAAAUUCUGAUGGUUUGUGGAAUGUAUAUUAGAGAUAUGAUUAUCAUGUGGUUAUGUUAAUGGGUGUUUUUCAAAUUUGUUGCCGCUCUUUUCGGUUUUAUUUUGUUAUGUUUUUGAUGAUGAUGGUAUUGCGGGGAAAAAAACAAAAAUUCUGAUGGUUUGUGGAAUGUAUAUUAGAGAUAUGAUUAUCAUGUGGUUAUGUUAAUGGGUGUUUUUCAAAUUUGUUGCCGCUCUUUUCGGUUUUAUUUUGUUAUGUUUUUGAUGAUGAUGGUAUUGUGGGAAAAAAAACAAAAAUUCUGAUGGUUUGUGGAAUGUAUAUUAGAGAUAUGAUUAUCAUGUGGUUAUGUUGAUGGGUGUUUUU
Molecule: long non-coding RNA, 538 nt
Filed under: Populus tremula
Lineage: Eukaryota; Viridiplantae; Streptophyta; Magnoliopsida; Malpighiales; Salicaceae
Description: long non-coding RNA (PTRE_LNC000819)
Source: RNAcentral